CACUCCUACGGGAGGCAGCAGUGGGGAAUAUUGCACAAUGGGCGCAAGCCUGAUGCAGCCAUGCCGCGUGUAUGAAGAAGGCCUUCGGGUUGUAAAGUACUUUCAGCGGGGAGGAAGGCGAUAAGGUUAAUAACCUUGUUGAUUGACGUUACCCGCAGAAGAAGCACCGGCUAACUCCGUGCCAGCAGCCGCGGUAAUACGGAGGGUGCAAGCGUUAAUCGGAAUUACUGGGCGUAAAGCGCACGCAGGCGGUCUGUCAAGUCGGAUGUGAAAUCCCCGGGCUCAACCUGGGAACUGCAUUCGAAACUGGCAGGCUAGAGUCUUGUAGAGGGGGGUAGAAUUCCAGGUGUAGCGGUGAAAUGCGUAGAGAUCUGGAGGAAUACCGGUGGCGAAGGCGGCCCCCUGGACAAAGACUGACGCUCAGGUGCGAAAGCGUGGGGAGCAAACAGGAUUAGAUACCCCGGUAGUCC
RNAcentral lists this ribosomal RNA (470 nucleotides) under uncultured organism. RNAcentral describes it as "partial 16S ribosomal RNA". It matches the Rfam family "Bacterial small subunit ribosomal RNA", at positions 334 to 796 of the family's 1533-position model. The record is from RNAcentral.